AUGAUUGGGGUGGUGUCACGCUCAGGGCACCUCGUGCUGGAUGGAGCUGCGGCACUCGUCGUUUCAUCAAGCAAAGCUGUGAUCGACGCCGUGGACAACCUCUCCGUUCUGCUGGCCAUUAGUAUCCUCCUAAAUGGCGUCCAACCUGUCCUUUCAGGAGUUGCUGUUGGAUCAGGGUGCCAAGCACUAGUGGCUUAUAUAAACGUAGGAAGCUAUUACAUCAUUGGAUUUCCUGUUGGACUUCUGCUGGGUUGCAAUCUGGGAGUUCUUGUACGCUCCCUACAAACCAUUCUUAAUACUCCCUCCAUUCCUCAAUAUAAGGAGUAUCUGUUAAUUAGUACUUGUGGAGAUACAUGUCUCCAUACUUACUACUAG
RNAcentral lists this ribosomal RNA (375 nucleotides) under Triticum aestivum (bread wheat). RNAcentral's name for it is "partial small subunit ribosomal RNA". The record is from RNAcentral. Lineage: Eukaryota; Viridiplantae; Streptophyta; Magnoliopsida; Poales; Poaceae.